GAUGAACGCUGGCGGCGUGCCUAAUACAUGCAAGUCGAGCGAACAGACGAGGAGUUUGCUCCUCUGACGUUAGCGGCGGACGGGUGAGUAACACGUGGAUAACCUACAUAUACGACUGGGAUAACUUCGGGAAACCGGAGCUAAUACCGGAUCACAUGUUGAACCGCAUGGUUCAACAGUGAAUGACGGUCUUGCUGUCACUUAUAGAUGGAUCCGCGCCGCAUUAGCUAGUUGGUAAGGUAACGGCUUCCCAAGGCAACGAUGCGUAGACGACCGGAGGGGGUGAUCGGCCACACUGGAACUGAGACACGGACCAAACUCCUGCGGGAGGCAGCAGUAGGGAAUGUUCCGCAAUAGGCGAAAGCCUGACGGAGCAACGCCGCGUGAGUGGAGAAGGUCUGCGGAUCGUAAAACUCUGUUAUUAGGGAAGAACAAAUGUGGAAGGAACUAGGCACGGCUAGACGGUACCUAAUCAGAAAGCCACGGCUAACUACGUG
Molecule: ribosomal RNA, 497 nt
Filed under: uncultured bacterium
Lineage: Bacteria
Description: partial 16S ribosomal RNA
Rfam family: Bacterial small subunit ribosomal RNA
Source: RNAcentral